Cannabis sativa is the source of this 108-nucleotide small nucleolar RNA. NCBI's taxonomy places the organism in Eukaryota, Viridiplantae, Streptophyta, Magnoliopsida, Rosales, Cannabaceae. The record is from RefSeq and is a predicted model, not a curated record.
AUGCCAUGAUGAGGGCAUUUUCUCGAUUAGAUCUUUAAACCUCUCCCAAGCCUCAUGGAGAGAUUCAUUAUCUCGUUGGCGUAAAAUUAUUGAUUUCUCCUCUCGCCU